Numida meleagris (helmeted guineafowl) is the source of this 3131-nucleotide long non-coding RNA. RefSeq lists it as uncharacterized. The transcript has 5 exons. The record is from RefSeq and is a predicted model, not a curated record. Lineage: Eukaryota; Metazoa; Chordata; Aves; Galliformes; Numididae.
UUUUGCAGUGGAAUUUGGAGGAGAAGUGGUUCUGUUUAACUUUCAAUGAGCCUGGACCUUUUGGUUUGUGUCCCUCUGGCACGCCUGCCCAGCUGCAGCAGAGAGCUGCGUGCUGCUCAUACAAGAUGUGAGAGCAAGGAAGGGGUUAGGCUGUUGAAAGCAGGUUUCUACAAGCCUUUAAAAUACCGAACGCUGCGUGUGUGUGUCCAGUUUGGAUGUGUCUGUAUCAGCCUCGGUGUGUGGCAUCUAACCCACAGCUGUCUGGACACAGCCAUGUUGUCCAGCUGAGUGUUUUCUUCUUGCUGGGUCCCUCAGCUGCUGACUUGCACGGGUGCUGGACUCUGGUUUCCAACGUGGUUAACCAACACUUGUAAAACACUGAAAUGGGCUCUGAAGGGCACAUGUGAACGCAUCUGAGCACAGCUCGCUCCAACUGCAGGAGAUGGGUUCCCCCUCUACAGGAUUAAUGCACCCAAAUCUGGCUGCAAGGCGGGAGGACGUGCAAGCGCUCUGCACCAGGACAGCAUCACCAGUUCCUUACUGGGAAUUCGCCCAUAACCAGCAAGGUCUUCCAGAGAAGUGAGUCCAGAGGUUGGAUUUGCCACCUGGAUAAGGAUGUCUCAACCUCAUUCAUCCACCAGGGACAGUGACAAGUCCUGCUGCUUCCCAUGGGCAGCCCUGCUCUUCUCCAGCCCCUGGCAGCCUGUCCUCCCACUUUCCGGACGACAAUUGUUUCAUGUAAGACUGCAGGAUCCCGAGGUCCAAGCCAUUCCAUCCCAUUACUUGGGAUGCUGCUGCCUGGAGGCACAGAGCUUGGAUGCUGCUGACUGAUGUUCCCAGGGAUAUCUGUUGCAGUAUGUGUUGCUAUUUGACCAUGCAGAGCUUCAGGGGGAGUGAGCAAACCUUUUUUUCCAAGCUGUUUGCAAGCCAAGCGCAUUCUGGAAAGCUUUGCCCAUUCCUGUCUCCCUGUGCUGGCUUUGCAGAGGCCGUCGUGGUGGAUGGGAAUGAUCCCUUGGUACACACAGUGGAGAAGAAGCGGUUCUUCCUGUGAGUCUCUCUCCGCUUUCCUCUGCUGCUCAUCAUUUUUAGGGUGUUUGCACAUCUUUCCAUCAGUCCAUCCAUCCAUCCGUUAGUCUACCCAUUUGUCCAUCUGUCCAUCCAUCCAUCUGUCCAUUCAUCUGUCCGUCCAUCCAUCCACCCGUACAUCUGUCCAUUUGCCUGUUCAUCUGUCCCUCUGUCCAUCCACCCAUCCAUCCAUUUUUCUCUCCAUCCGUCUAGCCACCCAUUCAUCUCUCCAUCGAUCCAUCCCUUUGUCUCUCCAUCCGCCCAUCCAUUCACCUCUCCAACCAUCCAUCCAUCCAUCCAUCCAUCCAUCCGUCUAUCUGUCCAUCCGCACACGCUGCCAGUGCUGGGAAGGGCUCCACGGGCCUGCCAAGGCCAGAUGGUGUUUGCGAGGAGCGCCAGGUCCCAGCUGAGCGCUGCCCGGCGAGAUGCGCGCGGGAGCUGCCGGGCAGCCGGCUCUGCCAAACCCGCGGCAUAUGCUGCGCCCGACCCUACACCUGCCGGUGGGCAGCCGCUGCGCGCUGCCGGCGUGAAGGAAAGAGGAAAAGCGCAGCCCCAUCUGGAAGGAAUUUAACGGAUAAACAACAGCAGUGAAACCCCCCAAAUUAAAAAAAAAUAAUAAAGUAUAAAAUUGAAGAGUGUGCAGAGGGAGUCAGAAACAGCAGGAGAAGGUGCCGCGGUGCUGGGCUGAGGUGGCCAGGGCACGCCCCUGUUUGCACCAGCCCCUCAGUUUUCAUCAGGACCCCCGUUUGUGCACAUACAGCCCCACCAGCCCCAGCUAAAUGUGAUGAGAACUGCUGGGGGAUAUUUGGAGAAAACCCCAAAUGGCCACGAGCAAAAUUGGUGGGGGAAUAGACUUCCUGCCUACUUUGUAUUUACUUUAAAACUGUGCACACUCCAGGCUCAACUCUGUAAUUUAUUGAAAGGAACUAGACUGGAAACCAGAUUCACACUGUGAGUAAUUUCUAACAUCAUUGCCAUCUAUCACCAGGAGACAGGGCACUUUGUUUCUCUGAAAAAUUAUUUUUGUAGUUGGCUUAGUAACAACAACAAUUAUUAUUAUUAAUAUUAAUAACUACUUGCGUAAGGCCUUUCAUGCACUGCUUAGGCAGAGUUCUGCACAUGGGACAGUUGUGUUGGCUGCGCCUCCUGGGAAGGGAAACGGAGACACAGACUUGGCCCCUGCCUUGCUCAGGUGGGCAGCAUCCUUUUCUGCUACAUUUGCUGUGCUGGAUGCGUAGGAUUUUUGUUCCACCUGCCCUGGAGCUUUGCUCUUGCUGAGAGCAGAGGCACAACGGCAGCUCCAGCGAUGGGUUGUGCCUCCUAGCAGGACCAGAAGUGUGGUACAGGGUGAGUUAUCCCCACUGCUGUUCUCCAGGUCACAUCUCUACAGCAUCUCCAACGCCGUGUUGGGAAAUCCCUAGGAGCCUGGUGUUGCCAGCCCUGCCCGGUGGGUAUCUCCCAGCAUCACCACCGAUGUACUGGGCUCCCUUGUUUCCACCUCCUUAACAAAGGCCCAAGUCUAACCCAGCAGCUACAUCUGAGCAGGCUUUGCUGUUGAGGGGGGGGGAAGCUUCGAAACACGUUCUGCCGUUGCUCUUCUUCCUCCCUCCUCUUUCCUCAGCCCCUCUCCAGGUCCCAUCCACCCUCUUGCUGCCAGCCUCCCCGCAGGCCACACUCAGCACCGCCCCAUGGACCUGACCCCGCUGCCAGCCCGCGCUGCCAUUUAGACUACUGAAGUCAAAUUAGGGUCAGAUUUUGGGGGGUCCUGUCUGGAGCCACGAGUUGGACUCGAUGAUGCAUAUGGAUCCCUUCUGACUCAGGAUAUUCCAUGACUCUACGAUUUUAUGGUUCAAGGGGAUCUUAGGGAGGACCAGCUGUCCACGCCAUGGCACUACACGAAGGACUCAGCGAAGGGGCAGGAUCCAUGAGGCCAUGCAGAAGGUGGGAUCCCUCGUGGCUUUUUUUUCCCAGGAAAGGGCUUUGGGAAGAGUUUUGCACCCUCUGAAGCGGGAAACUGCACAAUUACCUUCUUGGAGAAUUGCACAAAGUCAAUCUUUUUUCCUUUU